UACGUAGGGUCCGAGCGUUGUCCGGAAUUAUUGGGCGUAAAGGGCUCGUAGGCGGUUUGUCGCGUCGGGAGUGAAAACACCGGGCUUAACUCGGUGCUUGCUUUCGAUACGGGCAGACUGGAGGUAUGCAGGGGAGAACGGAAUUCCUGGUGUAGCGGUGAAAUGCGCAGAUAUCAGGAGGAACACCGGUGCGAAGGCGGUUCUCUGGGCAUUACCUGACGCUGAGGAGCGAAAGUGUGGGGAGCGAACAGG
RNAcentral lists this ribosomal RNA (252 nucleotides) under uncultured bacterium. RNAcentral's name for it is "partial 16S ribosomal RNA". It matches the Rfam family "Bacterial small subunit ribosomal RNA", at positions 524 to 776 of the family's 1533-position model. The record is from RNAcentral.